RNAcentral lists this ribosomal RNA (435 nucleotides) under uncultured bacterium. RNAcentral describes it as "partial 16S ribosomal RNA". It matches the Rfam family "Bacterial small subunit ribosomal RNA", at positions 28 to 507 of the family's 1533-position model. The record is from RNAcentral.
GAUGAACGCUGGCGGUAUGCUUAACACAUGCAAGUCGAACGGACUCUUCGGAGUUAGUGGCGGACGGGUGAGUAACGCGUGAGAAUCUGGCUUUGGGUUCGGGACAACCACUGGAAACGGUGGCUAAUACCGGAUGUGCCGAGAGGUAAAAGAGAAAUUGCCUGAAGAUGAGCUCGCGUCUGAUUAGCUAGUUGGUGAGGUAAAGGCUCACCAAGGCAGCGAUCAGUAGCUGGUCUGAGAGGAUGACCAGCCACACUGGGACUGAGACACGGCCCAGUCUGCUACGGGAGGCAGCAGUGGGGAAUUUUCCGCAAUGGGCGAAAGCCUGACGGAGCAAUACCGCGUGAGGGAAGAAGGCUCUUGGGUUGUAAACCUCUUUUCUUAGGGAAGAACAAAAUGACGGUACCUAAGGAAUCAGCAUCGGCUAACUCCGUG